Quercus lobata is the source of this 995-nucleotide long non-coding RNA. RefSeq lists it as uncharacterized. The record is from RefSeq and is a predicted model, not a curated record. The transcript is spliced from 4 exons. Lineage: Eukaryota; Viridiplantae; Streptophyta; Magnoliopsida; Fagales; Fagaceae.
GAGAGGGUCCAGUUCACGGUGGAGAUUUUUCUAGAAAUGAUCCACGUUCAUAAACGCGCCACGUCAUAACUUAACCCACUAAACCCAAACCACACUUAACUACGCUUAAACUAGAGACUCUUUUAACUUAACCUGAUCCUUCAGCUACCCAAAAAAGCAAAUAACUCCCUCUUCCUUCAGAUCUUUCUCUACCCAAAAUUCAAAAACUCUCUCUCACCAUUGCUCAAUCUCCAUGGUUACAGCUAGCAGCCACUGCGUCCUACACCUUCACUACCGGCGGAGUUCCGGUACAUUCCUGUCUCUCUCCUUCGGCCGCUGGAGGUGUUAUCGUCGGUGCCACCACCAUUGGUGGCCGUCGGGUGUUAGAAGUUGACAGUAAGAAUGUAAAAGCUCUGUACAGGAGAGCACAAGCAUACAUACAACUUGUUGAUUUGGAUCUGGCAGAACAGGAUAUCAAAAAGGCUCUUGAGAUAGACCCAGACAACAGGAUGUUGGUUGUGUUGUCAGGGAUGUGAAGCUGGAGUCCAAGAUUUUGAAGGAGAAAGUGAGAGAGUAUGACAAGAAGAAUGCCCAGUUUUAUGGCAGCAUCUUUGCAAAGAUGAACAAAUUAGAGCAAGCAAGAUCAGCAAAUACACCGCAAAAGCAGGAGCCAGUGCCAAUGAUAAUUGACAGCAAGGUCUAAACAGCUACAGUUUAAGAAUUGAGGUUGUGGUUUUUUUUUUUUUUUUUUUUGAGAAACAAUUGAGGUUGUGUUAGAUUCAGUGAACAGUUAUGGAAUGUAGAUUAGUGGAGUGGUACCAAAUUAACCAGUGAGAUGUAUUAUCCUUCUAAUAAAAGUGGUCAUUUUAUGCUUGCAAUGGUCUACUUGCAUUAUCAGUUUGUCACUGUCCUCACUACAAUAUAAGAAUUGAGGUUGUGUUGGAUGUGUUGAAGCCUGGUUUACCCUUUGCCUGAACAUUGUUCUUGUUAGAAAGCACCUGAUGUCCCUUGUUUGU